CCCUUAGAUGUUCUGGGCCGCACGCGCGCUACACUGACGAAUUCAACGAGCUUAUAACCUUGGCCGAAAGGUCUGGGUAAUCUCCAAAUUUCGUCGUGAUGGGGAUAGAUUAUUGCAAUUAUUAAUCUUCAACGAGGAAUGCCUAGUAAGCGCAAGUCAUCAGCUUGCGUUGAUUACGUCCCUGCCCUUUGUACACACCGCCCGUCGCUCCUACCGAUUGAAUGGUCCGGUGAAGCGUUCGGACCGUGGCCUUUGGACGGUUCGCCGUCUGUUGGCUGCGGGAAGUUCGUUAAACCUUAUCAUUUAGAGGAAGGAGAAGUCGUANCA
RNAcentral lists this ribosomal RNA (327 nucleotides) under uncultured eukaryote. RNAcentral's name for it is "partial 18S ribosomal RNA". It matches the Rfam family "Eukaryotic small subunit ribosomal RNA", at positions 1470 to 1796 of the family's 1831-position model. The record is from RNAcentral.